ACAAGUUUGCAAAAACUUUUGAUUGUGUGUGAACUGUUAUACUGUAGAACCGUGUGUGCGUUGGUUGCGCAUGGUGUUGGCCUUUGGGUCAUGCACCGCACUGAUGCACACCGGAAUCCAACUUGAAGCAACUUUGAAACUGAUUGACUGAAGUAAUAAAGAGUAAACCUAGA
Molecule: unclassified non-coding RNA, 173 nt
Filed under: soil metagenome
Description: partial internal transcribed spacer 1
Source: RNAcentral